ACGGCCAUACCACAUUGAAAACACCAGUUCUUGUCCAAUCACUGAAUUUAAGCAAUUUCAGGCCCGGUCAGUACUUGGGAGGGUGACCACUUGGGAACACCGAGUGCUGUAGGCU
RNAcentral lists this ribosomal RNA (115 nucleotides) under Cordylochernes scorpioides. The record is from RNAcentral. Lineage: Eukaryota; Metazoa; Arthropoda; Arachnida; Pseudoscorpiones; Chernetidae.